AGCGUGCACGGUGGAUGCCUUGGCAGUCAGAGGCGAUGAAGGACGUAGGAGCCUGCGAAAAGCGGCGGUUAGCUGGCAAACAAGCAUUGAUCCGCUGAUAUCCGAAUGGGGAAACCCACCUGUCAUAAGACAGGUAUCUUUAUUCUGAAUAUAUAGGAAUAGAGAAGCGAACCCGGAGAACUGAAACAUCUAAGUACCCGGAGGAAAAGAAAUCAACCGAGAUUCCGUAAGUAGCGGUGAGCGAAAGCGGAUUAGCCCUUAAGUCAUAUAGUGUUUAGAAGAACCGUUUGGAAAAUCGGGCCAUAGAGGGUGAAAGCCCCGUAUUUGAAAGGCGUUAUAUGAUGAAAACGAGUAGGACGGAACACGUGUAAUUCUGUCUGAACAUGGGGGGACCAUCCUCCAAGGCUAAAUACUCCUGACUGACCGAUAGUGAACCAGUACCGUGAGGGAAAGGCGAAAAGAACCCCGUUGAGGGGAGUGAAAUAGAACCUGAAACCGUGUACGUACAAGCAGUCAGAGCCGAUGUUUAAGCAUUCGGUGAUGGCGUACCUUUUGUAUAAUGGGUCAGCGACUUACAUUUUGUGGCAAGGUUAACUGAAUAAGGUAGCCGUAGGGAAACCGAGUCUUAAUAGGGCGUUGAGUCGCAAGGUGUAGACCCGAAACCGGGCGAUCUAUCCAUGAGCAGGGUGAAGGUUGAGUAACAUCAACUGGAGGCCCGAACCCACUGUCGUUGAAAAGCCAGGGGAUGACUUGUGGAUCGGAGUGAAAGGCUAAUCAAGCCCGGAGAUAGCUGGUUCUCCUCGAAAGCUAUUUAGGUAGCGCCUCGUAAGAUGACUUCCGGGGGUAGAGCACUGUUUCGGCUAGGGGCCCAUCCCGGGUUACCAAACCGAUGCAAACUGCGAAUACCGGAAAGUUUAUUACGGGAGACACACGGCGGGUGCUAACGUCCGUCGUGGAAAGGGAAACAACCCAGACCGUCAGCUAAGGUCCCCAAGUGAUAGUUAAGUGGGAAACGAUGUGGAAAGGCCCAGACAGCCAGGAAGUUGGCUUAGAAGCAGCCAUCUUUUAAAGAAAGCGUAAUAGCUCACUGGUCGAGUCGGUCCGCGCGGAAGAUAUAACGGGGCUGAAACUAUCCACCGAAGCUACGGGGUACAGUGGUCAGUUUUCAGUGGUCAAUUGGCAGUUAUAGAGAUGCGGAACAUGCAGGGUUUUGAACAAUUAGAGGUAUUUCAGCGUGCUUACAAGCUUUCAUUGAAAGAGCAUGAGCUAACGUUGCUAUUUCCGAAGAUUGAGCAAAUGUGUGGGCUUGCAGAUCAGAUGCGCAGAGCCAGCAAAGGCAUCUGUGCAAAUAUUGCUGAAGGACACGGGAAACUGGUCGUCUCAAAAGCAGAAUUUCGAAGGUUCAUUCUGAUGGCCAUCGGAUCUUCUGACGAAAUGAGAGUUUGGUUGAGGUAUAGCCUGGAUCUUCAUUACAUAGAAGAUCAUCAAUGGCAAGAACUGAAGACUGAAUAUAGUCAGAUCAGUAAGAUGUUGGUAGGUUUGCACAAGAGUUAUAUUUAACUCGUAGCAAAGACUGAACAGACUACUGAAAACUGAUCACUGGACCGGUAGAGGAGCGUUCUGUAAGCCGUUGAAGGUAAAGCCGGGAGGCAUACUGGAGGUAUCAGAAGUGCGAAUGCUGACAUGAGUAACGAUAAAGGGGGUGAGAAACCCCCUCGCCGAAAGACUAAGGUUUCCUAGCGCAACGCUAAUCGGCGCAGGGUAAGUCGGCCCCUAAGGUGAGCACGAAAGUGGUAGCCGAUGGGAAACAGGUUAAUAUUCCUGUACCAGUCAUGACUGCGAAGGAGGGACGGAGAAGGGCAGAUCAGCCUGGCGAUGGUUGUCCAGGUUCAAGGUUGUAGGUGGUGAUGUUUGGAAAAUCCGGCAUUGCAACACCGAGAACUGAUGUUGAAGCGAAGCUUGUCUUCGCGAAAUGAUUGAUCCCAUGCUUCCAGGAAAAGCUUCUAAGCUUCAGGUCAUGAGUGACCGUACCGCAAACCGACACAGGUAGUCGGGUAGAGAAUACCAAGGCGCUUGAGAGAACUCGGGUGAAGGAACUAGGCAAAAUGGCACCGUAACUUCGGGAGAAGGUGCGCCGCUGAUGGUUAAGCACUUGCUGCGUAAGCUGUUGGCGGUCGAAGAUACCAGGUGGCUGCGACUGUUUAUUAAAAACACAGCACUCUGCAAACACGUAAGUGGAAGUAUAGGGUGUGACGCCUGCCCGGUGCCGGAAGGUUAAUUGAUGGGGUUAGUUUUCGGACGAAGCUCUUGAUCGAAGCCCCGGUAAACGGCGGCCGUAACUAUAACGGUCCUAAGGUAGCGAAAUUCCUUGUCGGGUAAGUUCCGACCUGCACGAAUGGCGUAAUGAUGGCCAGGCUGUCUCCACCCGAGACUCAGUGAAAUUGAACUCGCUGUGAAGAUGCAGUGUACCCGCGGCAAGACGGAAAGACCCCGUGAACCUUUACUAUAGCUUGACACUGAACAUUGAGCCUUGAUGUGUAGGAUAGGUGGGAGGCUUGGAAGUGUGGACGCCAGUCUGCAUGGAGCCGACCUNAGUUCCGACCUGCACGAAUGGCGUAACGAUGGCCACGCUGUCUCCACCCGAGACUCAGUGAAAUUGAAAUCGCUGUUAAGAUGCAGUGUAUCCGCGGCUAGACGGAAAGACCCCGUGAACCUUUACUAUAGCUUCACACUGGACAUUGGUUUUGUUUGUGUAGGAUAGGUGGGAGGCUUAGAAACUGUGACGCCAGUUGCAGUGGAGCCAACCUUGAAAUACCACCCUGACAAAAUUGAUGUUCUAACCCAGACCCGUAAUCCGGGUCGGGGACAGUGUGUGGUGGGUAGUUUGACUGGGGCGGUCUCCUCCUAAAGAGUAACGGAGGAGCACGAAGGUUGGCUAAUCCUGGUCGGACAUCAGGAGGUUAGUGCAAUGGCAUAAGCCAGCUUGACUGCGAGCGUGACGGCUCGAGCAGGUGCGAAAGCAGGUCAUAGUGAUCCGGUGGUUCUGAAUGGAAGGGCCAUCGCUCAACGGAUAAAAGGUACUCCGGGGAUAACAGGCUGAUACCGCCCAAGAGUUCAUAUCGACGGCGGUGUUUGGCACCUCGAUGUCGGCUCAUCACAUCCUGGGGCUGAAGCAGGUCCCAAGGGUAUGGCUGUUCGCCAUUUAAAGUGGUACGCGAGCUGGGUUUAGAACGUCGUGAGACAGUUCGGUCCCUAUCUGCCGUGGACGUUGGAGACUUGAGAAGAGCUGCUCCCAGUACGAGAGGACCGGAGUGGACGAACCACUGGUGUUCGGGUUGUGUCGCCAGACGCAUCGCC
This 3357-nucleotide ribosomal RNA is filed under the name Branchiostoma lanceolatum (amphioxus). RNAcentral describes it as "bacterial LSU rRNA". It matches the Rfam family "Bacterial large subunit ribosomal RNA". The record is from RNAcentral. Lineage: Eukaryota; Metazoa; Chordata; Leptocardii; Amphioxiformes; Branchiostomatidae.